GACAGAAGGUGCAAGCGUUACUCGGAAUUACUGGGCGUAAAGCGUCUGUAGGUUUUUUGUCACGUCUGGCAGUAAAUUGCGGGGCUCAACCCCGCAGGUCUGUUGGAUACGAGCAAAAUAGAGUCACUCAGAGGCAUCUGGAAUGUCGUGUGUAGGGGUAAAAUCCGUAGAUACACGAUGGAACGCCAAAAGCGAAAGCAGGAUGCUAGGGGUGUACUGACACUCAGAGACGAAAGCGUGGGGAGCAAAGGGG
Molecule: unclassified non-coding RNA, 253 nt
Filed under: uncultured Candidatus Altimarinota bacterium
Lineage: Bacteria; Candidatus Altimarinota
Description: uncultured Candidatus Gracilibacteria bacterium contains 16S-23S intergenic spacer region
Rfam family: Bacterial small subunit ribosomal RNA
Source: RNAcentral